Small nucleolar RNA from Mustela putorius furo (domestic ferret), 132 nucleotides. Its record names the gene SNORA72. It matches the Rfam family "Small nucleolar RNA SNORA72". Rfam says of the family: U72 is a member of the H/ACA class of snoRNAs. The snoRNA gene is located in intron 4 of the ribosomal L30 protein gene in human, mouse and chicken. The record is from Ensembl. Lineage: Eukaryota; Metazoa; Chordata; Mammalia; Carnivora; Mustelidae.
GGGUGACCAUUCUUGCUAUUCUGAUUUCUUAAUAAUCAGGGCAGGCUCAGCAUUCACUAUAUUAAGACCAUGCAUGUGUCCCCAGGCCUAGUUCUUUCCCUAGGUCUGGUUUUAUAAAUUCUGGUGAUAAAU